UUGGAUAUCGUAGUGAUGAAUUGGCCAGUUGAAGCAUCAUUGUUGUGGGUGCUAAUGUCUUAUGGGUUAAUUUGUCAUAGAUGGAUUUGGGCAUGACACUCACACUAGCUCUUAGAUCGCACAAGGCUUGGUUAAAGUAUUGGGUUCCGAUGGAGCAGGAGAUCAUAGGGCAUCCAGGGUCCUUUUUUUCUCAGGGUAGUCAAGUAUAGCUGCGCUGCACACUUCUGUCAGUUGUACGACUGCUGUGGAUGUUGGUAUUUUUAAGGCGCGGAUAGAUAAGAUCCGCAAGCGCACGGAUACCGUUGUAGCUUUCACCUAGAGGGUUUUAUAUAUCGUAUCCAUAGGGAAACGUGUGAAUCAACUACGAGUUCUAACUUAACCGAAAAGGGUGAGUGAAAAAGAUAUAAACUAUACUAUGGAUAAAAUCUAAGUGGUACCAAGAUAAAAGGUAAAGGAAGAUCAAUCUAGUAUGGGUUCGAUAAUAGGAGUAUAGAGAGGAUAACUCAAUCAUGGGUUUCUACUUCUAACUUGGGU
This 534-nucleotide long non-coding RNA is filed under the name Sorghum bicolor (sorghum). Its description in RNAcentral is "long non-coding RNA (SBIC_LNC002941)". The record is from RNAcentral. Lineage: Eukaryota; Viridiplantae; Streptophyta; Magnoliopsida; Poales; Poaceae.